GGAAAAUUUUGGAAAUACUAUUUGGGAUAUUUGGAGGACUGUCACAUAAUUUAAGACUCUCUACAAAAGUAGUGUGCACAAGAGGGAGGACACUAUGGUGAUUUUAUGGAAAAGGGGUGCUGCAAUUAGAAGAAGUGGCUGUCACAUUUUUUUGGUGCUGGACUUUCACGGCCCACAAUUUUAAAAAAAAAAAGACUGCAGCACAUUGAAAGGGCAAAGAAAAAAACACACACGGACUGCAAGCGGAGGAGCUCACGAGCUUAUAGAAAAUAAAAAAAAAAAAAGAGAGAGAGCUUCAUGUUGCAGCCUCAUCCAUCCAGAAAGGGUGCACUCAUGGAGUUGAGUGGUCAAUUGGAAAAAAAUGAAAAAGAGGCUGGACAGAACGGCCUGGUCUAGCAAGUAGCCUGGACGCGCAAAACCCAAGCACGGAGCAACAUGAAGAGAGGAUUCACCCUAUUUUUAAGAGCUUCAGCCGCAUCACGUAUACACGUUGCAGCGGUGCAUCCAGCAGUUGCUUCGUCUACACGAACAAAACCUCCAGCGCACACACGACGGUCUAGCUGCAGCACAUAAUUCAAAAGACAACAGCACUCCACGUAGCAAUUGCACCUUCAUGCCAUCCAGCAAGCCACAACCCAAAACUUUGAGGGAAGUCUCCAAUAGCUUGCAAUGUGCAACAACUUGGAGUCCACGGCCCUGCAGCAACGAAAACACAUCCCAACAGCUUCAGCAGCAGCAACCCACGUACAGCAGCCACACACACGCCCAUAUUCCAGCUGCAUCACGUCCCAAGUCUAGCAGAUGCAACCUUCUUCACGCAAGGUCCAACAAGGAAGCUUCUAAGUGAGAGACACUCAUGGACUCAAUGCAAAGAAUGUUGCAGCACGAGCAGCAGCCCACGUUUCAGCAGCUUAUCACGUCUAGUUUUCUUCUCGGCCCAACACCAAGUGCAGCAACGUCCAGCAGCUUCAAUCUUGCAGCAGCAUUUUGGAGGUGCAUACAGAAAGGCAACGAUCCAGCAAGCAGUUUGGGCUGGAAAGAAGCUGGAGUUGGCACGGAAGUAGGUUGCAUCAUCCACGCUGGCAGCUAGGAGUAGGGCACCUAGGGAUUGCUUAAGAGACAGCCGUCACAUACCUUUUUUUUUAAUUUGAGCUGCAGUGUUUUUUUUAGGAGGGAAUCACUCUCUCGGCAUUGAAGGGAAAUGAAGAUGUUUUUGUUUAUGGAUUAUGGUUGAAUGAAAGAAGGUUUUCUCCAUUUUUUAUUUUUUGUGCUAUGCUGGAACGUGUUCUGGAUUCUAGAAUGAAGCUCGCUGCUAUAACUUGUGAAACUCCAAGAUGAAUUUGUUUUCACCUUUCAUGCUUGAAACCGAGGAGUGGAGCACCAUUGCUAUCUUUGUCUUUAUUUUAUUUCUUGCAUUUACUUGCUUUUGAGAUAAGAGUGGAAGGGUGAUGUUGAUAGGUCUGCAACGUUGAUUCACGCUGCUGGAUAGUAGCUUGUCACGGUCUGUAACGUGAUUUCUUGGGAAUAGCAAGUUUUGGCACAUUUUUUUUAUUAUCUUCUUUGAGUAAAAUUGGUGCAAUAGCUGACACAUUGGAAUGUACAAGUUUUAUUAUCUAAACUUUAUUAAAUGAAAAGUGGCUGGACGGAGUGGAAGCAGCUG
RNAcentral lists this long non-coding RNA (1660 nucleotides) under Vigna radiata. RNAcentral's name for it is "long non-coding RNA (VRAD_LNC000094)". The record is from RNAcentral. Lineage: Eukaryota; Viridiplantae; Streptophyta; Magnoliopsida; Fabales; Fabaceae.